GUGUUAAGGAGAGAAGAUUAACAUUCCCCUUGGCAGGAGUGAAAGAGGCUCUCAGACCUGACAACAUGCAUAUGGUUAAGGCCUUGCCAUCUACUUCAUGGCAUCUAAGCACCAUAUUUU
Lontra canadensis (Northern American river otter) is the source of this 120-nucleotide small nuclear RNA. The record is from RefSeq and is a predicted model, not a curated record. Lineage: Eukaryota; Metazoa; Chordata; Mammalia; Carnivora; Mustelidae.